This 944-nucleotide ribosomal RNA is filed under the name uncultured marine bacterium. RNAcentral's name for it is "bacterial SSU rRNA". It matches the Rfam family "Bacterial small subunit ribosomal RNA", at positions 22 to 905 of the family's 1533-position model. The record is from RNAcentral.
GCUCAGAAUGAACGCUGGCGGCGUGCCUAAUACAUGCAAGUCGAGCGCCCCUAUCAUUGUGUUUGUUAGUAUUUAGUAGUUAGCAAUUCGUAUCUAGUAUGAACUUUAGUUUAUAAGCAUACGAAAUACUAACCACUAUAUACGACAUACGAGCCCAAUGAUGGGGAGCGGCGGACGGGUGAGUAACGCGUGAGAACAUACCCCAGAGUGAGGGAUAAGCACCAGAAAUGGUGUCUAAUACCGCAUAACCUCUACGGAGAAAAGCUUCGGCGCUUUGGGAAUGGCUUGCGUUAGAUUAGCUAGUUGGUGAGGUAAAGGCUUACCAAGGCAAUGAUCUAUAGCUGGUUUGAGAGGAUGAUCAGCCACACUGGAACUGAGACACGGUCCAGACUCCUACGGGAGGCAGCAGUAGGGAAUCUUCCACAAUGGGCGAAAGCCUGAUGGAGCAACGCCGCGUGCAGGAUGAAUGCCUUCGGGUUGUAAACUGCUUUUAUAAGUGAGGAUUUUGACAGUAACUUAUGAAUAAGGAUCGGCUAACUCCGUGCCAGCAGCCGCGGUCAUACGGAGGAUCCAAGCGUUAUUCGGAAUGACUGGGCGUAAAGAGUUGCGUAGGCGGUUUGUUAAGCAUGUAGUGAAAUCUUGAGGCUCAACCUUGAGACCGUUACAUGAACUGGCAAACUAGAGUAUAUGAGGGGUAAUUGGAAUUCCCGGUGUAGGAGUGGAAUCCGUAGAUAUCGGGAGGAACACCAAUGGCGUACGCAGAUUACUGGCAUAUUACUGACGCUGAGGCACGAAAGCGUGGGGAGCGAACGGGAUUAGAUACCCCGGUAGUCCACGCCGUAAACGAUGGAUGCUAGCUUGUUUGGGGUAUCGACCCCCUGAGUAGCAAAGCUAACGCGUUAAGCAUCCCGCCUGGGGGAGUACGGUCGCAGAUUAAACUCAAA